AUAUUGGGUAAUGGAGGCAACUCUGAACCAGCCACGUCGCGUGUAGGAAGACGGCCCUACGGGUUGUAAACUUCUUUUGUUAGGGAAUAAAGUGAGUCACGUGUGCAUUUUUGCAUGUCCCUUAACAAUAAGGUUCGGCCUACUCCGUGCCACCCGCCGCGGUAAUACGGAGGAUCCGAGCGUUAUCCGGAUUUAUUGGGUUUAAAGGGUGCGCAGGCGGGAGAUUAAGUCGGUGGUGAAAUUUUGCAGCUCAACUGUAACAGUGCCAUUGAUACUGGUUUCCUCGAGUGUGGAUGAAGUAGGCGGAAUUUGUGGUGUAGCGGUGAAAUGCAUAGAUAUCACGAGGAACUCCGAUCGCGUAGGCAGCUUACUAAACCAUAACUGACGCUCAUGCACGAAGGCGUGGGGAUCAAACA
Molecule: ribosomal RNA, 416 nt
Filed under: uncultured bacterium
Lineage: Bacteria
Description: partial 16S ribosomal RNA
Rfam family: Bacterial small subunit ribosomal RNA
Source: RNAcentral